Potamilus streckersoni is the source of this 72-nucleotide non-coding RNA. The record is from the annotation of a GenBank genome assembly. NCBI's taxonomy places the organism in Eukaryota, Metazoa, Mollusca, Bivalvia, Unionida, Unionidae.
GCUCCGGUGGCCUAGUGGUUAGUGCAUCCGCAUCAGAUGCGGGAGGUCGUGGGUUCAUCCCCGUCCGAGUCA